UAAUAAGUGUUUUAUGGCACUUUUUAAAUCCAUAUCCACCUUGUGUGCAAUGUCAGUCGAUCUUCUUCAUGGAGAUCGACCAAACAUCAACCUUUAUUUUUAACUCCUUUGUCUGAAAAAUAUUAUGAAUAAACAAUUCAAAAUA
RNAcentral lists this unclassified non-coding RNA (145 nucleotides) under soil metagenome. RNAcentral's name for it is "partial internal transcribed spacer 1". The record is from RNAcentral.